This 253-nucleotide ribosomal RNA is filed under the name uncultured bacterium. Its description in RNAcentral is "partial 16S ribosomal RNA". It matches the Rfam family "Bacterial small subunit ribosomal RNA", at positions 524 to 776 of the family's 1533-position model. The record is from RNAcentral.
UACGGAGGGUGCAAGCGUUAUCCGGAUUCAUUGGGUUUAAAGGGUGCGUAGGCGGCCUUGUAAGUCAGUGGUGAAAUCUCCUCGCUUAACGAGGAAACUGCCAUUGAUACUGCAGGGCUUGAGUACAGUUGCUGUGGGCGGAAUAUGACAUGUAGUGGUGAAAUACAUAGAGAUGUCAUAGAACACCGAUUGCGAAGGCAGCUCACAAAACUGUAACUGACGCUGAGGCACGAAAGUGCGGGGAUCAAACAGG